AACAAGGAGAGAGACAUGAACAGCAUUGUUUGGCUUGUCGGAGCGGUCGUUAUCGUUCUC
Molecule: unclassified non-coding RNA, 60 nt
Filed under: Pseudorhizobium banfieldiae
Lineage: Bacteria; Pseudomonadati; Pseudomonadota; Alphaproteobacteria; Hyphomicrobiales; Rhizobiaceae
Description: Rhizobium sp. NT-26 Tombus_5
Source: RNAcentral